CAAUAGCGUAUAUUAAAGCUGUUGCGGUUAAAAAGUUCGUAGUUGGAUUUCUGCCACGGACGACCGGUCCGCCCUCUGGGUGAGUAUCUGGCUUGGCCUGGGCAUCUUCUUGGAGAACGUUGCUGCACUUCACUGUGUGGCGCGGUACCCAGGACCUUUACUUUGAGGAAAUUAGAGUGUUUCAAGCAGGCUUUCGCCUUGAAUACAUUAGCAUGGAAUAAUAAGAUAGGACCUCGGUUCUAUUUUGUUGGUUUCUAGAGCUGGGGUAAUGAUUAAUAGGGAUAGUUGGGGGCAUUCGUAUUUAACUGUCAGAGGCGAAAUUCUUGGAUUUGUUAAAGACGGACUACUGCGAAAGCAUUUGCCAAGGAUGUUUUCAUUGA
Molecule: ribosomal RNA, 380 nt
Filed under: uncultured eukaryote
Lineage: Eukaryota
Description: partial 18S ribosomal RNA
Rfam family: Eukaryotic small subunit ribosomal RNA
Source: RNAcentral